This 455-nucleotide long non-coding RNA is filed under the name Mus pahari (shrew mouse). RNAcentral describes it as "lncRNA (MGP_PahariEiJ_G0012257.1)". Lineage: Eukaryota; Metazoa; Chordata; Mammalia; Rodentia; Muridae. The record is from RNAcentral.
GAGGAACCUGAUCCUCGGUAGCGAAGGGCUGGAGGCAAACACCGAGCUCCCCCUGAGCCGCUCGGGAACAGGGAGGGUUCUGCUACCCUGAGGGGCCCUCCCCGCGGGGCAGAGGGUGGGGGGAAGUCACGACAUGUACUUCUGACUCUAUGCUUGCCUUGAGGAACAAUGGCAUGACACAGGGAUGUGGACGUUUUUCAACCAGAUGCUUCGGUACAGCAGUGUCGGCACACACCCAUCCUCGCCUAUGGCCAAGGGUUUCUCGUUUCUAGAAGAUGAAAGAUGUGAUGACUUAGGAAAAAUGUGCUGUUCGAGAUGUGAGUCUUCAGAUGUUCCCGCCGCCAUAUCUGACAGCUGCUGCCAAGAUUCCCUGGUGCGAUGGACUCUUAUACCUCUACAACCAGAAGCCCAAGUAAACUCUUCUAUAAGUUGAAUGAAUCAUGCUUUAAAAAAAA